GAAACUGUGGGUAAUACCGGAUGAUAUCUGUGUUCUUUAGGAUACAGAUCAAAGGUGAGAUUCCGCCCUUGGAGGGGACUUCGUCCUACUAGCUUGUUGGUGGGGUAACGGCCUACCAAGGCAAUGAUGGGUAGCGGGUGUGAGAGCAUGGCCCGCCUCACUGGGACUGAGACACUGCCCAGACACCUACGGGUGGCUGCAGUCGAGAAUCUUCGGCAAUGGGCGCAAGCCCGACCGAGCGACGCCGCGUGUGGGAUGAAGGCCUUCGGGUUGUAAACCGCUGUCAGUUGGGAGGAAAUUUUAGGGGGUUCUCCCCCUAGAUUGACCUAUCAUCAGAGGAAGACCGGGCUAAGUUCGUGCCAGCAGCCGCGGUAAGACGAACCGGUCGAACGUUAUUCGGAAUCAUUGGGCUUAAAGGGUGCGUANGCGGUGCGGAAAGUUGGGUGUGAAAUCCCUCGGCUCAACCGAGGAACUGCGCCCAAAACUUCCGUGCUAGAGGGAGACAGGGGUGAGCGGAACUGAUGGUGGAGCGGUGAAAUGCGUUGAUAUCAUCAGGAACACCGGUGGC
RNAcentral lists this ribosomal RNA (568 nucleotides) under uncultured bacterium. RNAcentral's name for it is "bacterial SSU rRNA". It matches the Rfam family "Bacterial small subunit ribosomal RNA", at positions 153 to 716 of the family's 1533-position model. The record is from RNAcentral.